UGAAAUAACUGAAAAAGGACUAAAUUGGAUUUAAAAUAUAAAUUUUAGGGCGAAUCUGAAAAUAAACUAAAAGAAAAGGACCAAAUUGAGUGCGCAAAUAACAAAGAGCGACCAAAACGGGAAAUAAUCCCCCCUCCAAAACGUGCAGCUCCAAGGUGGGCUCAAUUGAAAGCAGAAAUAAAUCACAGGGCCAAAAUUAACAAAUAAAAAAACUUUAUUGCAAAUGGAUAAAAAGCGGAAGGACUAAAGUAAAAAAUAUCCCAUUAAUACAAAACACGCUGAUCCUUUCCGGGUCGGGUCACACGCGCGGGUCGUGUGCCUAAACGGCGCCGUUUUGAUGCCUGGGCUUAUGGAACAAAACGGUGCCGUUUUAACAGUCCAUAAAAGCUGAAUUUUUUUUUUAAAAUUUCAUUCUUCUCCCCAGUUCCAAAAAAAAGAAAAGGCUCCCCAUUUUUCUCUGAAGGGUUCCAGUAUCUAGCCAUUGGACCGAUGAGCCAUCGCCGCACGCACCACCUUACACGCCAUCGUGCACGGCGAUCGGCGUUCAAAAGGUAAUAUUUUUCCCAUGUUUUUGAUGUAUUUGUAUAUGUGUAUAAAUUUAGGAAAAAAUAAAAAGGGAAAAAUAAAUAAAAUAAAAACUAAAAAUGCAACCCACGGUUGUUUUUUCUUUUCCACUCUGCUCUGCUAUUAGAUUCUCAAUUUGUGACUGGGAUUACUGUUUUUUUCGAAUUAUUUCAUAUCUAAAAAAAGUCCCCCUUACAAUGGUUUUUCGAAGGCCUUUAUAGCCUUUUUUUUACAACCAAUUCUUGCCUAUUUGCAGGUACGUGGUGGACCGGGCACUGACGUGGCGCGGUGGAGCAGAGCACAUUGUGGGGUAGCGGUGUCCGGCGCGCGAGGGGCAUGGGGUGCGGGCGUGAGCACGAGCGGCGGCACCUAGGGUUUUCCCUUCUUUUUUGCUGAAAAAGAUUUAAGUUUUUGGGCUUGUAAUUUUGGGCUAGGGUUUAGGUUUUUUGGCAUGUUGUAAAUGGACUCUGUAUUUAGACUAUUGUUUAUUGGGCCCCGGGCUAAAAUUGGGCCCUACAAUAACGAUCAUUAUUAAGGUUGAUACGAGUUACUAUUAAUUUCUAGUAACACUUACCCUUAGAAAUAAUCACUUGGAUUAGUGAUUCGAUUCCCACGUUAAUGGUCUAUCAAGUUGGUGUCGAUCGGCCCUUCAAUAAACAUGACAUACGAGAUGUUAAUACUUGAGAAAUAAUUCACUAUGACCUUAAAAAUAUUCAGUCAAGAGAAAAGUAAGGAGAUUUCUACUCAACCCUUACACUUACACUAACUUGGUUGAAACGGGAGGAUUGACGAAUCAUCUUGAACACGAAUUGAAAAGGAACGAAGGAUCUAAAGAGGAGGACUAUUUUUGAAAAUAGGCCAAUGAAAAAGUUUACGAUUAAGAACUAAUUAAAAAUAAAUAAUGCAAAAAAAAAAUUAUGACUAAAAAAAAUAAGAUAGGUUGAAAAUUGAAGAAGAAAAGAGGAAGAAUCUCAACCGUUGGCGGUGGUGCUAUGGCGGCGACGGUUUAGCAACAGAGGCAGCAGUUCAACAGAGGAGAAGAAAAGAAUAUGGGUUCGGUCACUCACUUAAAAGAAGAGAAAGGAAAAGAGAGAAAAAUAUGAAAAAGAUAAGAGUUUCAAUGGUUGUCGUGGUGGUGGAGGGUGGCACUAAGGGCGGCAGUGAAACAAAAAGAAGAUGAGAAGAGGAUGAUGGAUGAUGAAAUGGUGGUGUUUAGGUCGAAUGGUGGUGGUUAACGAUGGAGGAAAGGAGGCCAAAAUCAAAAUAAUGGUAGUUCAAGUUGGUGCAAGAGGUAAGAGUGAGAUAGAGAUAAAAAAGAGGAGCAAUGAGGGGAAUGGCA
This 1903-nucleotide long non-coding RNA is filed under the name Gossypium barbadense (sea-island cotton). RNAcentral's name for it is "long non-coding RNA (GBAR_LNC000952)". Lineage: Eukaryota; Viridiplantae; Streptophyta; Magnoliopsida; Malvales; Malvaceae. The record is from RNAcentral.